AUCUUCAGGGCGGGGUGUAAUUCCCCACCGGCAGUAGAGCCUGCGAGCCCAUAGGGGUUGAUACGGUGAGAUUCCGUAGCCGACGGUAUAGUCCGGAUGGAAGAAGAG
Molecule: non-coding RNA, 108 nt
Filed under: human gut metagenome
Description: FMN riboswitch (RFN element)
Rfam family: FMN riboswitch aptamer (RFN element)
About the family: The RFN element is a highly conserved domain that is found frequently in the 5'-untranslated regions of prokaryotic mRNAs that encode for flavin mononucleotide (FMN) biosynthesis and transport proteins.
Source: RNAcentral